UACGAAGGGGGCUAGCGUUGCUCGGAAUCACUGGGCGUAAAGGGUGCGUAGGCGGGUCUUUAAGUCAGAGGUGAAAUCCUGGAGCUCAACUCCAGAACUGCCUUUGGUACUGAGGAUCUUGAGUUCGGGAGAGGUGAGUGGAACUGCGAGUGUAGAGGUGAAAUUCGUAGAUAUUCGCAAGAACACCAGUGGCGAAGGCGGCUCACUGGCCCGAUACUGACGCUGAGGCACGAAAGCGUGGGGAGCAAACAGG
Molecule: ribosomal RNA, 253 nt
Filed under: uncultured bacterium
Lineage: Bacteria
Description: partial 16S ribosomal RNA
Rfam family: Bacterial small subunit ribosomal RNA
Source: RNAcentral